CCGCUCUCAGGGUUGCACCUGGAGAGUUUCCAGUGCUCUACCUGUCACAUCUACAGGAGGGAGAUUCAAGCAGAGGCAUACCCAUUCCAUUUCUAGCUUGAGCAGUGGCUAGCGAGUGGAAGGCAAUCUGCUACAAGU
Molecule: small nucleolar RNA, 138 nt
Filed under: Ornithorhynchus anatinus (platypus)
Lineage: Eukaryota; Metazoa; Chordata; Mammalia; Monotremata; Ornithorhynchidae
Source: RNAcentral